RNAcentral lists this long non-coding RNA (111 nucleotides) under Dermacentor andersoni. RNAcentral describes it as "uncharacterized LOC126541386". The record is from RNAcentral. Lineage: Eukaryota; Metazoa; Arthropoda; Arachnida; Ixodida; Ixodidae.
GACUUCCUAGAUUUGUCGCGCGCCCAUCGGCAUGUUUUGUGGAUAGCAACUCGGCUAGCAGGCAUUGAUCUAUGAAAGGUGCAAUAAAUGCCCUUGUGAUUGUUUGCACUA